GCCCCUCAGUGGCACAGCGGAAUGUCUGCGGACUUACAAUGCUAGAAACCGGGUUUCAAUACCCGUGGUGGGCAGAGCACAGAUAGCCCAUAGUGUGGCUUUGUGCUUAAUUACAAACAAACAAACAAAACA
Molecule: long non-coding RNA, 132 nt
Organism: Limulus polyphemus (Atlantic horseshoe crab)
Lineage: Eukaryota; Metazoa; Arthropoda; Merostomata; Xiphosura; Limulidae
Exons: 3
Source: RefSeq, a predicted model, not a curated record